CUCUUUUGUAAAUAUGUAACUUUUUGGUGAGUUUAAUAUACCGAUAGGAGACUCUCCUGCCGUCCUUUCGGUAAAAAAAAACUAAAAAAGAUAGUAUGAGUAAAAUCUCUAGCGACUCUAAAAUAUGAAAUAUGAGCUACGACAUUACUCUUCUUAAAAACAAACUAGAAAAAAUAGUAUGAGUAAAAUCUCUAGCAACGGAAAAACACUCUUCAUAAUUGUCGCAGCCGGACCAAUGAAAUUGCCACAAUCUUUAGAACCGCGCUAUAAAAAUAUCCAUGAAAAUAAUAAUUGAUCACCGACAGCGAGGAACAAAUGACCUUAUUCUACAAAAUCCUGGGCCUUACCUUGCUUAUACACAGAAAAAUGCUGGCCCUGGACCGCGCGAAAAGAAAUCAGCUUCUUUUAGCUGCAGAUCUCUUUCUCCGAUUUUCAAGCACACGCUAGUUUUUUUCUAGCACACGCUAGUUUGUUUCAGAGACCGAAGAUACAGUAGCUCGGUGCUAGUUUCUUCUUUGGUUCUUGUUCCCUUGUAGGCCUGUUCUUUCUGCACAAUUGCUCCCUUGUGGGCCAGUGAGUGACAGGAUGGGCUCUUCCUAUUACCAGAGACAAAGUAGUAGUAGUUCCUUGAGAAAGAGUUGGGCUGGGCUAGGUCACUUUGCCAGUACUACUAAGAACGUCUGCGUUCUGAGCUAGCCUAUUAGAAAUUCCCCAGGCUUCGUUUGGAUGUCUGAAUUGGAGGG
This 743-nucleotide long non-coding RNA is filed under the name Brachypodium distachyon (stiff brome). Its description in RNAcentral is "long non-coding RNA (BDIS_LNC001548)". Lineage: Eukaryota; Viridiplantae; Streptophyta; Magnoliopsida; Poales; Poaceae. The record is from RNAcentral.